This 466-nucleotide ribosomal RNA is filed under the name uncultured bacterium. RNAcentral describes it as "partial 16S ribosomal RNA". It matches the Rfam family "Bacterial small subunit ribosomal RNA", at positions 28 to 508 of the family's 1533-position model. The record is from RNAcentral.
GAUGAACGCUGGCGGCGUGCUUAACACAUGCAAGUCGAACGGAAAGGCUCCUGCUUGCAGGGGUACUCGAGUGGCGAACGGGUGAGUAACACGUGGGUGAUCUGCCCUGCACUUCGGGAUAAGCCUGGGAAACUGGGUCUAAUACCGGAUAGGACGAUGGUUUGGAUGCCAUUGUGGAAAGUUUUUCGGUGUGGGAUGAGCUCGCGGCCUAUCAGCUUGUUGGUGGGGUAAUGGCCUACCAAGGCGUCGACGGGUAGCCGGCCUGAGAGGGUGUACGGCCACAUUGGGACUGAGAUACGGCCCAGACUCCUACGGGAGGCAGCAGUGGGGAAUAUUGCACAAUGGGCGCAAGCCUGAUGCAGCGACGCCGCGUGGGGGAUGACGGCCUUCGGGUUGUAAACUCCUUUCGCUAGGGACGAAGCGCAAGUGACGGUACCUGGAGAAGAAGCACCGGCUAACUACGUGC